This 397-nucleotide long non-coding RNA is filed under the name Apteryx rowi (Okarito brown kiwi). RNAcentral describes it as "lncRNA (ENSARWG00000009420.1)". Lineage: Eukaryota; Metazoa; Chordata; Aves; Apterygiformes; Apterygidae. The record is from RNAcentral.
GGAUGCUCUUGUAAGAAAAAGAGGUGAAGACCAUGCUUGGCUCAUUGAUGAUUGAAGAACUGACAUCAUCCUGGUGUCCAAAUGUGAAAACAAACACCAUUUCCUACUUUGACUUCAGGUGAGACUGUUCAGGGAUUCCCAUGAGGUCUCUCUGUCAUGGUGCAUUUUCCACCUGUGGUGUGAUAAAGUCAAAAGGAUGGGCUCUGUCUCAGAGGACUGUGGGCUGCCUGGAAUGAAUGAGUAUCCACACCACCUGCAUGCUGGCCAGAUAUUGAUCCAGCUGGACACAGCAAUGAAACCUAUGGAGCCGUGGAAGAUAGCAGUCAUCACUUUGUCAGUGGUGUUGGGUUUGGCCCUUGUCAUUGGCUUGAUCGCGUAUGUUUUGUGCAAUGGUAAG